RNAcentral lists this ribosomal RNA (1554 nucleotides) under Staphylococcus aureus. Its description in RNAcentral is "16S ribosomal RNA". It matches the Rfam family "Bacterial small subunit ribosomal RNA". The record is from RNAcentral. Lineage: Bacteria; Bacillati; Bacillota; Bacilli; Caryophanales; Staphylococcaceae.
UUUAUGGAGAGUUUGAUCCUGGCUCAGGAUGAACGCUGGCGGCGUGCCUAAUACAUGCAAGUCGAGCGAACGGACGAGAAGCUUGCUUCUCUGAUGUUAGCGGCGGACGGGUGAGUAACACGUGGAUAACCUACCUAUAAGACUGGGAUAACUUCGGGAAACCGGAGCUAAUACCGGAUAAUAUUUUGAACCGCAUGGUUCAAAAGUAAAAGACGGUCUUGCUGUCACUUAUAGAUGGAUCCGCGCUGCAUUAGCUAGUUGGUAAGGUAACGGCUUACCAAGGCAACGAUGCAUAGCCGACCUGAGAGGGUGAUCGGCCACACUGGAACUGAGACACGGUCCAGACUCCUACGGGAGGCAGCAGUAGGGAAUCUUCCGCAAUGGGCGAAAGCCUGACGGAGCAACGCCGCGUGAGUGAUGAAGGUCUUCGGAUCGUAAAACUCUGUUAUUAGGGAAGAACAUAUGUGUAAGUAACUGUGCACAUCUUGACGGUACCUAAUCAGAAAGCCACGGCUAACUACGUGCCAGCAGCCGCGGUAAUACGUAGGUGGCAAGCGUUAUCCGGAAUUAUUGGGCGUAAAGCGCGCGUAGGCGGUUUUUUAAGUCUGAUGUGAAAGCCCACGGCUCAACCGUGGAGGGUCAUUGGAAACUGGAAAACUUGAGUGCAGAAGAGGAAAGUGGAAUUCCAUGUGUAGCGGUGAAAUGCGCAGAGAUAUGGAGGAACAUCAGUGGCGAAGGCGACUUUCUGGUCUGUAACUGACGCUGAUGUGCGAAAGCGUGGGGAUCAAACAGGAUUAGAUACCCUGGUAGUCCACGCCGUAAACGAUGAGUGCUAAGUGUUAGGGGGUUUCCGCCCCUUAGUGCUGCAGCUAACGCAUUAAGCACUCCGCCUGGGGAGUACGACCGCAAGGUUGAAACUCAAAGGAAUUGACGGGGACCCGCACAAGCGGUGGAGCAUGUGGUUUAAUUCGAAGCAACGCGAAGAACCUUACCAAAUCUUGACAUCCUUUGACAACUCUAGAGAUAGAGCCUUCCCCUUCGGGGGACAAAGUGACAGGUGGUGCAUGGUUGUCGUCAGCUCGUGUCGUGAGAUGUUGGGUUAAGUCCCGCAACGAGCGCAACCCUUAAGCUUAGUUGCCAUCAUUAAGUUGGGCACUCUAAGUUGACUGCCGGUGACAAACCGGAGGAAGGUGGGGAUGACGUCAAAUCAUCAUGCCCCUUAUGAUUUGGGCUACACACGUGCUACAAUGGACAAUACAAAGGGCAGCGAAACCGCGAGGUCAAGCAAAUCCCAUAAAGUUGUUCUCAGUUCGGAUUGUAGUCUGCAACUCGACUACAUGAAGCUGGAAUCGCUAGUAAUCGUAGAUCAGCAUGCUACGGUGAAUACGUUCCCGGGUCUUGUACACACCGCCCGUCACACCACGAGAGUUUGUAACACCCGAAGCCGGUGGAGUAACCUUUUAGGAGCUAGCCGUCGAAGGUGGGACAAAUGAUUGGGGUGAAGUCGUAACAAGGUAGCCGUAUCGGAAGGUGCGGCUGGAUCACCUCCUUUCU